GAUGAACGCUGGCGGCGUGCUUAACACAUGCAAGUCGAACGGAAAGGCCCAAGCUUGCUUGGGUACUCGAGUGGCGAACGGGUGAGUAACACGUGGGUUAUCUGCCCUGCACUUCGGGAUAAGCCUGGGAAACUGGGUCUAAUACCGGAUAGGACGAUGGUUUGGAUGCCAUUGUGGAAAGUUUUUUCGGUGUGGGAUGAGCUCGCGGCCUAUCAGCUUGUUGGUGGGGUAAUGGCCUACCAAGGCGUCGACGGGUAGCCGGCCUGAGAGGGUGUACGGCCACAUUGGGACUGAGAUACGGCCCAGACUCCUACGGGAGGCAGCAGUGGGGAAUAUUGCACAAUGGGCGCAGGCCUGAUGCAGCGACGCCGCGUGGGGGAUGACGGCCUUCGGGUUGUAAACUCCUUUCGCUAGGGACGAAGCGUUUUUGUGACGGUACCUGGAGAAGAAGCACCGGCUAACUACGUG
Molecule: ribosomal RNA, 468 nt
Filed under: uncultured bacterium
Lineage: Bacteria
Description: partial 16S ribosomal RNA
Rfam family: Bacterial small subunit ribosomal RNA
Source: RNAcentral